GUCGUUGUAGUAUAGUGGUGAGUAUCCCGCCUGUCACGCGGGAGACCCGGGUUCGAUCCCCGGCAACGGCG
Transfer RNA from Ipomoea nil (Japanese morning glory), 71 nucleotides. It matches the Rfam family "tRNA". Rfam says of the family: Transfer RNA (tRNA) molecules are approximately 80 nucleotides in length. Their secondary structure includes four short double-helical elements and three loops (D, anti-codon, and T loops). NCBI's taxonomy places the organism in Eukaryota, Viridiplantae, Streptophyta, Magnoliopsida, Solanales, Convolvulaceae. The record is from Rfam.